RNAcentral lists this ribosomal RNA (1390 nucleotides) under metagenome. RNAcentral describes it as "bacterial SSU rRNA". It matches the Rfam family "Bacterial small subunit ribosomal RNA". The record is from RNAcentral.
GUCGAACGAACCUUCGGGUGAGUGGCGGACGGGUGAGUAACGCGUGGGAAUCUGCCCUCAGGAGGGGGAUAACGACUGGAAACGGUCGCUAAUACCCCAUAUGCCGAGAGGUGAAAUGAAUUUCGCCUGAGGAUGAGCCCGCGUCUGAUUAGCUAGUUGGUGGGGUAAGAGCUCACCAAGGCGACGAUCAGUAGCUGGUCUGAGAGGAUGAUCAGCCACACUGGGACUGAGACACGGCCCAGACUCCUACGGGAGGCAGUAGUGGGGAAUUUUCCGCAAUGGGCGAAAGCCUGACGGAGCAACGCCGCGUGAGGGAUGAAGGCCUCUGGGCUGUAAACCUCUUUUCUCAAGGAAGAAGAUCUGACGGUACUUGAGGAAUAAGCCACGGCUAAUUCCGUGCCAGCAGCCGCGGUAAUACGGGAGUGGCAAGCGUUAUCCGGAAUCAUUGGGCGUAAAGCGUCCGCAGGUGGCUUUGUAAGUCUGCUGUUAAAGCGUGGAGCUUAACUCCUUUUCAGCGGUGGAAACUACAAAGCUUGAGUGUGGUAGGGGCAGAGGGAAUUCCCGGUGUAGCGGUGAAAUGCGUAGAUAUCGGGAAGAACACCAGUGGCGAAGGCGCUCUGCUGGGCCAUAACUGACACUCAUGGACGAAAGCCAGGGGAGCGAAAGGGAUUAGAUACCCCUGUAGUCCUGGCCGUAAACGAUGAACACUAGGCGUCGGGGGAAUCGACCCCCUCGGUGUCGUAGCCAACGCGUUAAGUGUUCCGCCUGGGGAGUACGCACGCAAGUGUGAAACUCAAAGGAAUUGACGGGGGCCCGCACAAGCGGUGGAGUAUGUGGUUUAAUUCGAUGCAACGCGAAGAACCUUACCAGGGUUUGACAUCCUGCGAACCCCUGAGAAAUCGGGGGGUGCCUUCGGGAACGCAGUGACAGGUGGUGCAUGGCUGUCGUCAGCUCGUGUCGUGAGAUGUUGGGUUAAGUCCCGCAACGAGCGCAACCCACGUCUUUAGUUGCCAGCAUUCAGUUGGGCACUCUAGAGAGACCGCCGGUGAUAAACCGGAGGAAGGUGUGGAUGACGUCAAGUCAUCAUGCCCCUUACAUCCUGGGCUACACACGUACUACAAUGCUACGGACAAAGGGCAGCAAACUCGCGAGAGCAAGCAAAUCCCAUAAACCGUGGCUCAGUUCAGAUCGUAGGCUGCAACUCGCCUACGUGAAGGAGGAAUCGCUAGUAAUCGCAGGUCAGCAUACUGCGGUGAAUACGUUCCCGGGCCUCGUACACACCGCCCGUCACACCAUGGAAGUUAGCCACGCCCGAAGUCGUUACUCCAACCCUUGUGGAGGAGGAUGCCGAAGGUGGGGCUGAUGACUGGGGUGAAGUCGUAACAAGGUA